AUGAACGCUAGCUACAGGCUUAACACAUGCAAGUCGAGGGGUAGCAGGGUAGCAAUACCGCUGACGACCGGCGCACGGGUGAGUAACACGUAUCCAACCUUCCUUUUACUCGGGGAUAGCCUUUCGAAAGAAAGAUUAAUACCCGAUAGUAUAUGUCAUUCGCAUGUUUGACAUAUUAAAGUUUUUCGGUAAUUGAUGGGGAUGCGUUUCAUUAGAUUGUUGGUGAGGUAACGGCUCACCAAGUCUUCGAUGAAUAGGGGUUCUGAGAGGAAGGUCCCCCACACUGGUACUGAGACACGGACCAGACUCCUACGGGAGGCAGCAGUGAGGAAUAUUGGUCAAUGGACGAGAGUCUGAACCAGCCAAGUAGCGUGAAGGAUGACUGCCCUAUGGGUUGUAAACUUCUUUUAUAUAGGAAUAAAGUGAGGUACGUGUACCUUUUUGUAUGUACUAUAUGAAUAAGGAUCGGCUAACUCCGUGCCAGCAGCCGCCGUAAC
Molecule: ribosomal RNA, 497 nt
Filed under: uncultured bacterium
Lineage: Bacteria
Description: bacterial SSU rRNA
Rfam family: Bacterial small subunit ribosomal RNA
Source: RNAcentral